GAUGAACGCUGGCGGCGUGCCUAACACAUGCAAGUCGAACGGAGAUUACGGACGGAAGUUUUCGGAUGGAAGACUGUAAUUCUUAGUGGCGGACGGGUGAGUAACGCGUGGGCAACCUGCCCUAUACAGGGGGAUAGCAGCUGGAAACGGAUGGUAAGACCGCAUAAGUCGGCGAGACCGCAUGGUUUUGCCGGGAAAUGAGCAAUCAGGUAUAGGAUGGGCCCGCGUCCGAUUAGCCAGUUGGCAGGGUAAAAGCCUACCAAAGCAACGAUCGGUAGCCGGACUGAGAGGUCGGACGGCCACAGUGGGACUGAGACACGGCCCAAACUCCUACGGGAGGCAGCAGUGGGGGAUAUUGCACAAUGGAGGAAACUCUGAUGCAGCGACGCCGCGUGAGUGAAGAAGUAUUUCGGUAUGUAAAGCUCUAUCAGCAGGGAAGAUGAUGACGGUACCUGACUAAGAAGCCCCGGCUAACUACGUG
RNAcentral lists this ribosomal RNA (481 nucleotides) under uncultured bacterium. Its description in RNAcentral is "partial 16S ribosomal RNA". It matches the Rfam family "Bacterial small subunit ribosomal RNA", at positions 28 to 507 of the family's 1533-position model. The record is from RNAcentral.